GCCUCUCAAGCGUAGGCAGCGACGCACCCGUCUCGUAAGCGGGAGAGGCCGGCGCGAGUCCGGCGAGAGGCA
RNAcentral lists this transfer RNA (72 nucleotides) under Sandaracinaceae bacterium. RNAcentral's name for it is "tRNA-Thr". The record is from RNAcentral. Lineage: Bacteria; Pseudomonadati; Myxococcota; Polyangiales; Sandaracinaceae.